AUGGCCUGGACCCCUCUCCUCCUGGGCCUCCUGGCUCACUGCACAGGCUCUGUGGUCUCCUACGAGCUGACUCAGCCAACCUCAGUGUCGGUGUCUCUGGGACAGACGGCCAGGAUGACAUAUCAGGGAGACAACGUUGGAAGUAAAAUUGCUUACUGGUACCAACAGAAGGCAGGCCAGACCCCUGUGCUGGUUAUUUACAAUGAUUAUCAGCAGCCCUCAGGGAUCCCUGACCGGUUUUCUGGCUCCAACUCGAGGAACACGGCCACCCUGACCAUCAGCGGGACCCGGGCCGAGGACGAGGCUGACUAUUACUGUGGGGUGUGGGACAGCAGCAGUGAUCAUCCACAGUGACACAGGGCCAUGGGGAAGUGAGACACGAACU
Molecule: non-coding RNA, 385 nt
Organism: Talpa occidentalis (Iberian mole)
Lineage: Eukaryota; Metazoa; Chordata; Mammalia; Eulipotyphla; Talpidae
Source: the annotation of a RefSeq genome assembly